This 253-nucleotide ribosomal RNA is filed under the name uncultured bacterium. Its description in RNAcentral is "partial 16S ribosomal RNA". It matches the Rfam family "Bacterial small subunit ribosomal RNA", at positions 524 to 776 of the family's 1533-position model. The record is from RNAcentral.
UACGUAGGUGACAAGCGUUGUCCGGAUUUACUGGGCGUAAAGGGCGUGCAGGCGGUUUGUUAAGUGCAGGGUGAAAGCUCCCGGCUCAACUGGGAGAGGUCCUUGCAUACUGGCAAACUCGAGGGAGGCAGAGGAAAGUGGAAUUCCCGGUGUAGUGGUGAUAUGCGUAGAUAUCGGGAGGAACACCUGUGGCGAAGGCGGCUUUCUGGGCCUUACCUGACGCUGAGACGCGAAAGCGUGGGGAGCGAACCGG